RNAcentral lists this ribosomal RNA (253 nucleotides) under uncultured bacterium. RNAcentral describes it as "partial 16S ribosomal RNA". It matches the Rfam family "Bacterial small subunit ribosomal RNA", at positions 524 to 776 of the family's 1533-position model. The record is from RNAcentral.
UACGAAGGUGUCUAGCGUUGUUCGGAAUCACUGGGCGUAAAGCGGGCGCAGGCGGACUAUCCAGUCAGGGGUGAAAUCCUGAGGCUUAACCUCAGAAUUGCCUUUGAAACUGAUAGUCUGGAGUGUGUGAGGGGGUAGCGGAAUUCCGAAUGUAGAGGUGAAAUUCGUAGAUAUUCGGAGGAACACCGGUGGCGAAGGCGGCUACCUGGCACACAACUGACGCUGAGGCCCGAAAGCGUGGGGAUCAAACAGG